Molecule: ribosomal RNA, 440 nt
Filed under: Drosophila aracataca
Lineage: Eukaryota; Metazoa; Arthropoda; Insecta; Diptera; Drosophilidae
Description: partial 12S ribosomal RNA
Source: RNAcentral
UAUUAUUUAAAGUGUAAAUAAAAUGCUUAAGUAGUAAUAGUUAUGUUCUUGAAACUUAAAAAAUUUGGCGGUAUUUUAGUCUAUCCAGAGGAACCUGUUUUGUAAUCGAUAAUCCACGAUGGACCUUACUUAAAUUUGUAAUCAGUUUAUAUACCGUCGUUAUCAGAAUAUUUUAUAAGAAUAUUAAUAUUCAAUAAUUUUUAUUUAAAUUUAUAUCAGAUCAAGGUGUAGCUUAUAUUUAAGUAAUAAUGGGUUACAAUAAAAGUAUUUAAACGGAUAAAAUUAUGAAAAAAUUUUUAAAGGUGGAUUUGGUAGUAAAAUUAUAAAGAUUAAUAAUUUGAUUUUAGCUCUAAAAUAUGUACACAUCGCCCGUCGCUCUUAUUACUAAGGUAAGAUAAGUCGUAACAUAGUAGAUGUACUGGAAAGUGUAUCUAGAAUGA